Molecule: non-coding RNA, 104 nt
Organism: Acanthosepion pharaonis
Lineage: Eukaryota; Metazoa; Mollusca; Cephalopoda; Sepiida; Sepiidae
Source: the annotation of a GenBank genome assembly
CAAUCAAAUCAUACUGAAAACACCAGUUCUCAUUUGAUAAGUGAAGUUAAGCAGUGUCAAGCCUGGUCAGUACUUAGAUGGGGGACUGCUUGGGAACACCAGGU